AGUUCAGAUUGCAGGCUGCAACCCGCCUGCAUGAAGUCGGAAUUGCUAGUAAUCGCGGAUCAGCAUGCCGCGGUGAAUACGUUCCCGGGCCUUGUACACACCGCCCGUCAAGCCAUGGAAGCCGGGGGUGCCUGAAGUGCGCUGCCGCAAGGAGCGCCCUAGGGUAAAACCGGUGACUGGGGCUAAGUCGUAACAAGGUAAC
This 202-nucleotide ribosomal RNA is filed under the name uncultured bacterium. RNAcentral describes it as "partial 16S ribosomal RNA". It matches the Rfam family "Bacterial small subunit ribosomal RNA", at positions 1290 to 1500 of the family's 1533-position model. The record is from RNAcentral.